Molecule: ribosomal RNA, 564 nt
Filed under: Streptomyces sp. 410B01
Lineage: Bacteria; Bacillati; Actinomycetota; Actinomycetes; Kitasatosporales; Streptomycetaceae
Also listed under: 7 other names
Description: bacterial SSU rRNA
Rfam family: Bacterial small subunit ribosomal RNA
Source: RNAcentral
UAGUGGCGAACGGGUGAGUAACACGUGGGCAAUCUGCCCUUCACUCUGGGACAAGCCCUGGAAACGGGGUCUAAUACCGGAUAACACUGCGGAUCGCAUGGUCUGNGGUUAAAAGCUCCGGCGGUGAAGGAUGAGCCCGCGGCCUAUCAGCUUGUUGGUGAGGUAGUGGCUCACCAAGGCGACGACGGGUAGCCGGCCUGAGAGGGCGACCGGCCACACUGGGACUGAGACACGGCCCAGACUCCUACGGGAGGCAGCAGUGGGGAAUAUUGCACAAUGGGCGAAAGCCUGAUGCAGCGACGCCGCGUGAGGGAUGACGGCCUUCGGGUUGUAAACCUCUUUCAGCAGGGAAGAAGCGAAAGUGACGGUACCUGCAGAAGAAGCGCCGGCUAACUACGUGCCAGCAGCCGCGGUAAUACGUAGGGCGCAAGCGUUGUCCGGAAUUAUUGGGCGUAAAGAGCUCGUAGGCGGCUUGUCACGUCGAUUGUGAAAGCCCGAGGCUUAACCUCGGGUCUGCAGUCGAUACGGGCUAGCUAGAGUGUGGUAGGGGAGAUCGGAAUUCCU